RNAcentral lists this transfer RNA (76 nucleotides) under Candidatus Woesebacteria bacterium. RNAcentral's name for it is "tRNA-Arg". It matches the Rfam family "tRNA". From Rfam's summary of the family: Transfer RNA (tRNA) molecules are approximately 80 nucleotides in length. The record is from RNAcentral. Lineage: Bacteria; Candidatus Woeseibacteriota. RNAcentral also lists the same sequence under 1 other name.
GCUCUCGUAGUCUAAUUGGAUAGGACUCGUCCCUCCGAAGGAUGCAAUCUGAGUUCAAGUCUCAGCGGGAGCACCA